RNAcentral lists this non-coding RNA (107 nucleotides) under Fictibacillus arsenicus. RNAcentral's name for it is "TPP sequence". It matches the Rfam family "TPP riboswitch aptamer (THI element)". From Rfam's summary of the family: Vitamin B(1) in its active form thiamin pyrophosphate (TPP) is an essential coenzyme that is synthesised by coupling of pyrimidine and thiazole moieties in bacteria. The previously detected thiamin-regulatory element, thi box was extended, resulting in a new, highly conserved RNA secondary structure, the THI element, which is widely distributed in eubacteria and also occurs in some archaea. The record is from Rfam by way of RNAcentral. Lineage: Bacteria; Bacillati; Bacillota; Bacilli; Caryophanales; Fictibacillaceae.
CGAAACCACUAGGGGUGCCUUUUAAAGGCUGAGAUCGAAGUUUGACUUCGAGACUCUUAGAACCUGAUCUGGAUUAUACCAGCGUAGGGAAGUGGCUGUUACGGAAA